UACGUAGGGUCCGAGCGUUGUCCGGAAUUACUGGGCGUAAAGAGCUCGUAGGUGGUUUGUCGCGUUGUUCGUGAAAACUCACAGCUCAACUGUGGGCGUGCGGGCGAUACGGGCAGACUAGAGUACUGCAGGGGGAGACUGGAAUUCCUGGUGUAGCGGUGGAAUGCGCAGAUAUCAGGAGGAACACCGGUGGCGAAGGCGGGUCUCUGGGCAGUAACUGACGCUGAGGAGCGAAAGCGUGGGGAGCGAACAGG
Molecule: ribosomal RNA, 254 nt
Filed under: uncultured bacterium
Lineage: Bacteria
Description: partial 16S ribosomal RNA
Rfam family: Bacterial small subunit ribosomal RNA
Source: RNAcentral